UACGUAGGGUGCAAGCGUUAAUCGGAAUUACUGGGCGUAAAGCGUGCGCAGGCGGUGAUGUAAGACAGGUGUGAAAUCCCCGGGCUUAACCUGGGAACUGCAUUUGUGACUGCAUCGCUGGAGUGCGGCAGAGGGGGAUGGAAUUCCACGUGUAGCAGUGAAAUGCGUAGAUAUGUGGAGGAACACCGAUGGCGAAGGCAGCCCCCUGGGAUAACACUGACGCUCAUGCACGAAAGCGUGGGGAGCAAACAGG
RNAcentral lists this ribosomal RNA (253 nucleotides) under uncultured bacterium. Its description in RNAcentral is "partial 16S ribosomal RNA". It matches the Rfam family "Bacterial small subunit ribosomal RNA", at positions 524 to 776 of the family's 1533-position model. The record is from RNAcentral.